ACAAGUUUUCUCUUUCCUGGCCUCAUGUUGUUCAAAACACUAUGAUUGAUCUUUGAUAUUUAUGUUACAAGUUUCGUUUACUUCAUGUUGCUGAUACCUAUUACUCAUUUGAAAGGUUGAGCUCACAAAGAUAUAGCGAAUUGUUAAUGCAAUUAAAUGGUUGAUAAAUUGUUAGAUAGGAAGACAUCAACAUAAAUGCACAUAAGCUGUCAAGUGCAUUAGACUUACCAAUUGCGGUGACAAUUACACUAAAGAUAACUCUUCUUCUGUGUCUCAUCAUAAGUUCCUUCCUUGCUGAAUUACCAGUCAUCUUUCCCAAAUGAAAAGCAGAGUGGGAAAUCCUAUUCCUAUGGUUGCAUUCCGGCUCAGGGAAUACAUCUGCAAUUGCGGAAAAUAGAAGUGCACCAGCAAAAAACUGCAAAGAACAUGCUAAAAAGUAGGAAAUGAAGGAGGCCUAACUGUUUCAAGUCCAGCUAAAAAGUGAAAGGAGGGAAGGUGGAGUAAGCAGGGCGCGGACGUGACAGAAAGGACUCCAGUGGUGCGCACUUAUAGAGUAGUAGAUUAACUGUUGUGUGCUGCGUGCCAUGCAUAGCCGCUGAGGAGGAAUACCCUAUGCGUCACAAAGGAGGAGAAAGCAUAUGCAAUCCAACCGCCUGAAGGAAGCACUCCUUGUAAGUAAAGAGAAGAAAAGUAAAGCAAAGCAAGAUGGACAUGCUACGUAGCAGGAGUGGCGGCGCACGUGGAGGGGAGGCGGCUGAGCAUCUGGCGGUCGGCGCCGGAGAUGAGCGGGCCGGCGAUAAGCAGGCAGAGGCAGGGCUGCCCGCACACGGGAUCAUCAGCUGCAGCAGCGCGCCCAGGUAAUUGUAGCUGCUACUGCCACAACUGCCACAUGCUUCUGCUCCUGCUGCUGCUGCGCUUGAUUCUCUAACCUGGUAGUACAGCAUUACAACUAGUAACCAUAAGAACAAGACUUGUUUCUUGCCACGUCGCUGCUGAAUCAUCCCAAAACAAAUGCAGCCUUACACAUGCUUCUGCUCCUGCUCCUGCUGCGCUUGAUUCUCUACCUGGUAGUACAGCAUUACAACUAGUAACCAUAAGAAAGACUUGUUUCUUGCCACGUUGCUGCUGAAUCAUCCUGCUCCUGCUGCGCUUGAUUCUCUACCUGGUAGUACAGCAUUACAACUAGUAACCAUAAGAAAGACUUGUUUCUUGCCACGUUGCUGCUGAAUCAUCCCAAAACAAAUGCAGCCUUA
This is a long non-coding RNA of Brachypodium distachyon (stiff brome), 1253 nucleotides long. RefSeq lists it as uncharacterized. The record is from RefSeq and is a predicted model, not a curated record. The transcript has 4 exons. Lineage: Eukaryota; Viridiplantae; Streptophyta; Magnoliopsida; Poales; Poaceae.